UACGUAGGGGGCAAGCGUUGUCCGGAUUUAUUGGGCGUAAAGAGCUCGUAGGCGGUCUGUCGCGUCGAAUGUGAAAACCCGGGGCUCAACCCCGGGCCUGCAUUCGAUACGGGCAGACUAGAGUUCGGUAGGGGAGUCUGGAAUUCCUGGUGUAGCGGUGAAAUGCGCAGAUAUCAGGAGGAACACCGGUGGCGAAGGCGGGACUCUGGGCCGAUACUGACGCUGAGGAGCGAAAGCGUGGGGAGCAAACAGG
RNAcentral lists this ribosomal RNA (253 nucleotides) under uncultured bacterium. RNAcentral's name for it is "partial 16S ribosomal RNA". It matches the Rfam family "Bacterial small subunit ribosomal RNA", at positions 524 to 776 of the family's 1533-position model. The record is from RNAcentral.